Molecule: long non-coding RNA, 338 nt
Organism: Sander lucioperca (pikeperch)
Lineage: Eukaryota; Metazoa; Chordata; Actinopteri; Perciformes; Percidae
Exons: 3
Source: RefSeq, a predicted model, not a curated record
GUUUUCUGUCUGUUCUGACUGUUUUCCUCACUAUAGUCGUCAUUGUUCUGGCUGUUAAAAUCAGGAGACUUCAGACAGUUGUGAAUGAAGAACUGCAGCCAGAAAGAAACAAGGAUCUGGGCUCAGAUGAACUGAACUACGCAGCUCUAAAUUUCCAGGCGAAACCCAAAAGAAGCCGCAGGCCUGCAUCAGAGAGAGAGCUGGAGCCACAUGUUGUGUAUGCUGCCACCAGGUAGACUCAGGAAACAUCUGGAACUGCAGCUCAGACUGGAACUGAUGCUUCAUUAUGUUAAUCUGCUGAUGUGUUUUUAUGUGUGGGAGGAGUCUACUGCCAAAAA